AAUAAGUAUGGAAAGUUUUAAAAAUAUAUUUGAAGUGUAAAGAGGUAAAAUGAUAUUUGUACUAUACUUAAAAAGUAAAGAAGGUUAUUUUUUAAAGACAUUUCUUAUUGGGGUCAAAUAUGUAUAGUCACCCAUAUUUGGGUCUAUGACAUGCAAUUUCCUUAAAGUCGACCUCCCAUGAGCCAAAAUGGGCUAACACGUCCCGAUUCCUUAAUGGGACGGGCAUCCCACUUAGCCGCCUUAGAUGUCUAUCCAGUUACCGGAUGAGCUCAUCUUAUGUUCAUAAUUGGAUUAAAAUCCUGAUCACAAGUAAUAUCAAGGAGUUGAUUUUAAAAGUAGUUGAGUCAGAUAGUAGUUUCGGUAACUUGCCUGAAGAACUCUCUGUUGCUGAGGGAUUAAACAUUCUUAAUUUACACGGAUUUAAGCUUGGAUUGCCUCCUGAUCAUGGUAUAAAGCUUUCAUCUUUGUGAAAGUUAAGACUCACUGAUACAUAUUUGGAUGAGCAACUCGUUCAAGCUUUAUGUGCAAGUUGCGUUUGUUUAGAGAAGUUAAGGUUAUCCUGUUGUCGCGGACUAGCCAGCUUGCAAAUUGCUGCAAGUUUACAGAAACUGAAGACGGUUUGGGUACUUUGUCUUCCUGAACUCCAGAUAGUUGAUAUUGCAGCAGCAAAUCUUGAAAAUCUUUACAUUGAAAGUCAGCUAUGGAAUCUACAGGUAAUUAAAAUAACUUGUUGCAAAUCCUUGAAAACUUUGUACAUCGUUGAUGUGGAUGUCACUGACGGAUGGCUUGAAGAUCUUCAUGUCAAUCAUCCCAAUCUUGAGUGCUUGUCCUUAUUGGGUUGUUUAAAGUUGCAGACAAUCAAGAUCUCAAGUGACCGGCUGAAGUAUCUUGCAUUAUCGUGGUGCUUAGAAUUGAUCGAUGUUGAACUGGAAACUCCUAAUUUAACACGCUUCAGAUGUGAGUGCGAUGAAAAUUUUCCAACCCUCAAGCUUAUGAAAGUUUCAGUUUUUCUAGUAGUUGAACUCGAAUUCUCCCUGACAAAUAUACUUGAUAGUCAUUGGUAUUCUAUGCUCAUGAAAUUUCUCGGAAACUUCAAGCAGUCAAAGGCUAUUAAGUUAGAUUGCUGCGACAGGGAUGGAUAGUGAUACCAAAAUACAUGAGAGAAAACUUGGUACAGAAAACUCACUACUAAAGAUGCAUCAAUAAUGAAUAUAAGAACUGAACGAUUACAAGAUGAUUAACUUAGCCAGAACUUUGGUAAAGAAACCUUCGGCUCCUGCCGAUUGCUGGAGCAGAAGGUUUCUAUACCAAAGCUCAGUUCAGAAGUUCUGCAGCAAAUCAGCUCUAAAAGCAAGAUUCCAAAGCUGUACACGUCCACUUUGACGGUUAUAGGCAUAUUCCUGAACCACUCUGGGGCUACAUACCCUCUUGUCCCACGUAUCUUAGUGGUUGUUCGAGUCUGAUCUUUCCUCAAAAGCUUGGCUAUUCCGAAAUCUGCUAUUUUUGCUGUCAAACCUUCAUCUAAAAGCACAUUUUGGGGCAUGAUAUCACAAUGUAUAAUUUGGGUGCUACACUCUUCAUGCAAAUAGCAAAGCCCUUUAGCGGUGUCUAUCGCAACUUGUACCCUCUGCGACCAACUACGCCUAGAAUCUUUGAAUAGCAAGUCUGCUAAUGAGCCAGUUUCCAUGUGUUCAUACACCAAAAGCCGGUGUUGGCCUUCGUUACAGAACCCGAGGAGUUGGACCAAGUUCUUGUGAUUAGUCCUUCUGAUUGAAUUUACUUCAGCUAGGAAUCCUUGUUCUCCUUCUGUUACCGUCUUGUGUAGUUUCAUGACAGCAACUAUUUUCCCAUUGUCAUCGUUAAGAACCGCUUUGUAACCUGUUGAGAAGGCACCGGUUCCUAACUGUUCCUCGAAUCCGUUUGUAGCUUCUUCUAGCUCAUUGUAACUAAAACUUCUUAUGUUCACUCCUGGAACAGCUUGAUAUGCUGAAAGCUUCUUUGGAUAUUUCCCUUUAAACUUAAAAACAUACUAAAGGGCCAACAAUAUCAAGAUUAAAACCGAACUACCCAAUAAUACAGAAACAGAAAUGAUUAGACUAGAUUGAUUUUUUCUCUUUUCACCAGCUUGAGACCGAGGCGUAGCAGUAGUAGUAGUUGUUGUUGUUGUUGGUCCUACUAUGGAGUUGUCUUUCGUUAUUUUCAAAAGCGUUUUUGAUACUUCUGCUGGAUCUGUUCUCCCGUUUAAAAGCGGAUACCUUUUCUUCCAACAUUCUUUUCUUGGAUGGUGAACAGCAGCAACGCAAUAACAAUCACUCAAACAAUUCUGUUUGCACCAAUCCUCAGUAACAUCUCCGUAAUACUCAUAAUCACUACCAAUCCAGUUAGUGUGGAGCAUUUCGUGCAUUGUGAAAGCCUCAACACCGCGAGAUUCAUCCUUACAAACUUGCUCGGGGAAAUUGCGGCUGCAGCUGCCUAAUUUGUCCUUCGGAUCAUUUAAUAUAUACUUGAUUGGACAAUCACAUCUUGGCCUUCGGUCAGUUCCCAUCGAGCAAAGGCUGUUGAAACCACAUGCAACCCCUUGUCUCUCUAGAUGUUGAGGGAGAAGUAAACAGAUGUUAUCCGGAAUGCUAUGCAAACUAGACCACGCCAUCGGCCUCCCACUAGAAGAUCUUUUUGGAUAGACAUAGUGUCUAAAAACUCCAUCAGAUUCAAGAAUCGCUCGCUGAUAAAACUGGCUUAAUGUUGAGUUUGUCUCAUUGGAAGAAGAUAUCAAUGUCAGCAGAGUUCCAUUCGCUGCGUGAAGAUAAAUGCCUGAUUGAUUGAAGCUCACCUGGUUACCACUGCCACCAGUCGUGGUUGACCGAUAUACAAUCGGGUACUUGAUUGUAUAAAGUGACAGAUCUCCAUCCAGGAACAACUCAAAUCUUCCACUCGAUGCAUUCGUUCUAGAGAAGCUCGAGACAAACCUGGAUAUUUGAUUAAGUACUUGUCCAGGCAAAAUUGUAUCAGUUGGCUCAUCAAAACUCUGCCAUAGAAUGCCUGAACUACUGGUUGCUAACACAAAGUUACCGGUGUCGAGCAUGGCUCCAUAGACCGGUCCAGCACUAGCCGUAUCACGUGCCCAUAUUUCCUGACCAUUUGGAUCAGUUAGCACUAGUCUUCCAUCUAUAGAAAGCUCAACUUUGGAUCCCUCCGGCGCGAUGUUAUUUCUAUUGGCUGACCAAACUAUCGUCUUUCCUUCAAGUUUGUUGAACCAAAUGGCUAGUAAAAAUCCUGAUGAUCCAUUUCGAAUUCUUUGAAAGCCAAAUGCAAAAUCUCCAGAAGGGGAUGGCCAAAAUUUAGUAACAUCACUUGUAGUGAGUGUUGAACCCAAACUAACAUUUUUGUAAGAUUGAGCAAUUGUUGAAAGUGGAAACACUAAAAAAAUUGCAAGUAGAAACAUACAAUGGAAAGCCAUGCAAGAAAAAGAGGCAAAGUUUCUUGAAAAUCAGAAUGGAUACAUGGAAUUAUAUACACCUAUAAGUUAUAAACAGAGUAAAGCAUCUGGUAGCCUGAAUUAUGACCAAAUUUGCUACGACUCACUUCAACUUUACGAGAGUUCUAUUACUAUCCUGAACUAAAUUUUAGCAUAUGUUUGUCAACUUUUUAGCUGACGUGACACCUUUUUCCAACCUUUUUAGAUGACAUGACACAUUUGACGUGGGCCCCAUUUUAUGUAAUAAAGGUGUCACGUCAGCAGAGAAGGGUGAAAAACAUACUGUUAAGGCAUGUGGAGUUUUGAUGAUAGACAUGUGAAUGAAACAUGUUGUGAAAGCUGGUCCAUUCAAGUGUACAAAGAAAAGUUGCAGGUAAGACUGUUGCUAAGAUGAUAUUGCGCAUAGACAGGAGUAGAUAAGCAAGAAUAUUCAGGAACCUUCUCAAACACUUAUCACUUUAGUAAAGUGGAGGAAAAAUGCAAUACUCAGAAGUUGAGUUGAUCUAGAAGUCCAACAAUGAGAAGAGUUCUGCAAGGAUAAAGGAUAAAGCAAAAGAGUCCUAUUCAACCAGGGGAGGAGAAAUGGCUACAACAAGGAGUGAAGUUACUUGAUAGAGUUGAAAGAAGAAAUGAUACAAGAAUGACAACAGAAGGCACAAAACACACUCCAAAUCAGUCCACAAUCUUAAGGAUCCGAGGAUCAAGAUGGAGACCACUCUUGGAUUCGCUAUCAACAAGAAGAAUACAAGAUACAAUGNNNNNNNNNNNNNNNNNNNNNNNNNNNNNNNNNNNNNNNNNNNNNNNNNNNNNNNNNNNNNNNNNNAUGAAGGUAUAAUCUUAAGAACCCAAGAAUGGACAAUAUUGGACCCUUAACACUAUACACAACAAUAAACCUAUCUCUUAAAAAUAUACGAAAUCGGAAUCCACCUCUCAAGCAUCAAUGUUUCCAAGCAAAUAACAACAAAAGAGAAUCCACCCUAUUGUUGUAUCCUAGUUUCGUUUUUCCUCCAAAGAGAAGAGAGGACUUGUGUUUUCCAAUGUCUUAAGACUUACAACAUCAUCAAUAAACUAAGUCUAAAAUUCCUACAAUGUUCUAUUUAUACUAGGUUACAAAUAAAAUACAAAAAGACCAAAAGGCCCCUUAGAGACUUAGGUGCCCAUCAAGUGUAAUACGUUGUCUGAUUUUUAGUGCACUUAGGCUCGCUUUUGCACUUCAAUUGCACACACCAAGUCUCGAACCCAAAAUGAACUCCCAUAAGUACAUAUCCAUGAUUAUUCCCGUAUUAUCCUCUCCAUCUUGAGAGGAAUUUGCCCACCAAUUCAGGGCUUCACCUCAUUCAAUCGGCCACUUUAAAAUAAACCACUCAAAACAGCCCGCAAAAUAUUAACACAAGUCUUGGCCAACAUCUUCAUUUUGAAUCUCGGCUUCCUAUCCAUCUUGAGCCUUGUCUUUAAUCUCAUCCGAAACAAGUCUCCUACCAUCAUACAAGCAUCAUCGUAGAAUCCAUAUCCAUCAUGUUCCUUUCUACCAUUCUCCUCUACAUGGACAUGUCGGCUUUGGUAAAGUGGAGUUUCGGUUGAGAGGAUUGAUUUGGUAAAGUGGAGCUUCGGUUGUGGAGCUUGGAUGGGAGAGAUUUGGUUUCCAAGUCCUUUUUGUUGGACUUGAUCGAAUGGAGAAGGGAUUGACCUAUGUAGGCCUCGGGUUGGAGGGAAUUUGGUGGCUUGGCUUAUGUUUACAUCAUUUGGUGGUGGUCUUGGAGGAUUGAUUGCUUGAGGUAAAGUUUCGGAAUUAGAAUCAUGAGAAUUUCUUUGACUCUCCACUCGAUCCAACCUCUCAAGUAUAGUAUACAUAUCCGAGCCUAAUUUGUCAAGACCCGCAUUCGCCUUAGCUAUUUCUCGGGUAAUAGCAUCAAGAUGGGCCAAAAUGGUAUCCAUUGUGGCAAAGAAGUUACCUACAAAAUAGAAAAUAUGUUAGUUAUACAAAACAUCCUCACCCUCUCUUUUAUUUCGGGUCUCUCGGAUCCCUCACACUCAAUCUCACAAGUAUUGAAAGCUUGGUUGUACUCCGAGAGGUGUUGAGAGGUGAAUCCAACGUUGAAAACGAAUCCAAAGAGUAAGGAAAAAAACACAAGGAUGUUACAAUGACUCAAAGGAUUAAGACACACAAAGGAAAGUUAACACGAAGAACGGUUUCAAAACUAACUUACAAUCUAGUACUAGCUCAUACGUUAGUAAUGGAAUCAACAAACGAAACUAAAGAGACAACACAAUGAAACUAAAAGAUCAAAAUUUGAGCUUAAAAUUUUGUCGUGUUAACAGUAAAACGUGAUAUGACAGCCACGUAUUGGUUUGAUUUUAUCAAGUUGUUAAUUUCAAAAGUUCAAGUCUUGGUCAAUUUUCAAUUUGGGACCUUUGGUGGAACUUGUUCAAUGAAGGGAAAUACAAACUAGUCUUUGGAACUUCUUUUCAAUUCACAAUUAAAGACUCAAAUGUCUUUGACUAGACUUGUACUACCCUUAAAACAUGGAUUCUUGAAUCAUGAAAAGUUGUUGGAAAGUGGUUGAGAUGUGAUUGACUAGUUGAUGAGUGAUGGUAAGUCUUUCAAGACUAAUAAAGCUUUACCUUUUUCCCUUCACCUUUACAGAUCUAAGGUUCACUUUAUUUUAAAAAGCUAUGAAGGUUGUGAAGAACUUCAUGAACAAUAUCAACAAUCACCAAGAACAACCAACAACAAUCUCCAAGAACACCAACCAUUUUCACACGGCCAACUUCCAAUUUUCACAAUACAAUAUCUUCAACACUUGGCCAAGACAACAACAACUUUAACAAGAUGGUUCUUAGGACACCAAUGAGAAAAAAUAACACGUGGCCAAGCUUAGAACAACAACAAGACGAAUACCACAAGGCCAAAACAGUCCACCACAAUAAUGUUUCAACAACAAUUCGGCCAAGUCUUAUGUUCACAACAACAACAUCAAUUUUUAAAGCUCAAAUCUAGAUAUAGACUCAACGUGUUAGUGAGAAACAAAACUAACACUUAGAGAUAACAAAUACAAGUAAAAACCGCGGCCAAGACACAAUAAGAACACACUUUUCGUCCAAGAACACAACACGGACAGAUUGCUAUUUUUUCUGAAAUUUUCAGUUUUGAACACUUUUUUUAUUUUUCCACUAACAAGCCCAAGAUUGAUCUUAUGGGAACAAAAUCAAGACAUUCUUUGAUACCAAAUGAUACAAUAAUGACAAUGGAAGGCACAAAACACACUUCAAAUCAGUCCACAAUCUUAAGGAUCCGAGGACCAAGAUGGAGACCGCUCUCGGAUUCGCUAUCAACAAGAAGAAUACAAGAUACAAUGUGUAUUUUAACACCAAAACAGCAACAAGAACAAGAAAAAGAUUAAUACAAGAUGAUAAAAAAGAAGACACAAGAUACAAAUUUAACAAUAACAACAAGAACACAAGAUUACAACACAAACAAUAAACAAGAUUACAAGAAGGUAAAAGGAUAGAUAGAUAAACCACAUGAAGGUAUAAUCUAAAGAACCCAAGAAUGGACAAUAUUGGACCCUUAACACUACACACAACAAUAAACCUAUCUCUUACAAAGACACAAGAUCGGAAUCCACCUCUCAAGCAUCAAUGUUUCGAAGCAAACAACAACAAAAGAGAAUCCACCCUAUUGUUGUAUCCUAGUUUCAUUUUUUCCUCCGAAGAGAAGAGAUGACUUGUGUUUUCCAAUGUCUUAAGACUUACAACAUCAUCAAUAAACUAAGUCUAAAAGCCUACAAUGCUCUAUUUAUACUAGGUUACAAAUAAAAUACAAAAAGACCAAAAUGCCCCUUAGAGACUUAGGUGCCCAUCAAUUGUAAUAUGUUGUCUGAUUUUUAGUGCACUUAGGUUCCCUUUUGCAUUUCAAUUGCACACACCAAGUCUCGAACCCAAAAUGCACUCCUAUAAGUCCAUAUCCGUGAUUAUUCCUAUAUCAAGAAAGAAUCAUAAAUUAACUAGGACUCCAUCACAUGUGUAUUAAAAGUGUGAAUAUAUACAACAAAGCACGAUCAAGUAAUUUACUAAAUACACUGUAAAAAAAAUCAACAAUCAGCAAAACAGUUCUCAUACUUGAAGAAGAACCUGGUUCCUUACUCAAGUCAUAGACUGUGUAUAGUAGGUAGGUUCUUUGAGUUAUAAUGAGUCAUUGUUCUAGUCUCAGUGAUCUAUAAACUGAGUUAGGAGUUGUGUCUUCAACUUAGGAAACUCGAAGACUUGGGAACACUUAUCUUGGAAAGAUUUAUGUUUUUGUAGUGAAACCCUACAUGAAAUGAUGACAAGGCUUACCACCUUGACAAAUGAGUUGGAUUCCCUGGGAAAGAUCAUCCCUGAGGAGGAAUAAGUUAAAAAAGUACUAAGGGUAUCGCCUAGAUCAAAAUGGAAUAUUAAGGUAACUGCAAUCAGGGAGGAAAAUAAAGAGCUUAAAGGUAUGACCCUGGAUGAACUAGUAGGGAACUUAAGGACUUAUGAAAUGGAAAUUGAUGGAACCAAUGAACAAGCUGCUUUUGAGAAAAUUUUAGCAUUGAAAGCUUCUGAUAGUGAUGAGGAUUUUGAACUUGAUAAGGAGCAAGUUUCCUUCAUAACCAAAAACUUCAGCAAAUUCAUUAAAAAGAAGAAGGGAACAGGUACUAAGAAAUAUUCCAAUGACAAUCUAAAUGGAUGCCACAAAUCUGGCAAAACUGAUCAUCAAAUCAGAGACUGUCCAGUCUGGGAAAUAGAAUGGACGAAGAAAAGGAUUGAAAAAGAAUUAAAGGAAAAAAGGAAGGAGGAGCAUGCAAUGAUAUCAGCCUGGGGAACUGAUUCAGAUGAAGAUGAAGUUGAUGAAACUGCAUUCAUGGAUUUUGGAGAUUCAGAUAUAGAUGAAGAAGAUAAAGAUUCUGAGGUAAGCAUACUUUAACUCAAAGAAAAACUUCAAUUAUUUUCGAAACCAAAACUUGUUUCCUUAAUGAGUGCAUUUAUUGAUGAUUUCCAAGAGUUAUUCUCUGAUAUGGAUGAAUUGUUUGUUUUGCAAGUCUCAAAUUUAAUCUCAUUGAUCUAAAGGCUUGCUCAGAUACAAUUGACACAGAAAAAUGCACUAUAAAGAAAUAGGUUACAGAACUUGAGAUGUCAAAUAAUAAUCUUAAGUCUAAAGUUCUCAAACUAACUCUCUCUAAAAAUGGGAAAAAGGCCAUGAGUAAAGAAUAAGAAAAUGUUGAACUUGAGUUGGUUAGAUGCAAACAAGAGUGCUAUGAUUUAACUGAAAAAUGAAUAAGUUGAAUCAUGAAGUUUCUAAACUAAAACUGAAUAAGUUGAGUCAUGAAUAAGUUUAACUGCAAAUAGGUGGACAAACUCUUGUAGAAUUGUUCACAUUUUGAGUGAAAGAAAUUUCAAUGAAAAGGCAGGAUUGGGAUUCCGUAGAAGUUUUGGUAAUCUUAAGGAUUCAUGUUAUAUCUGUGGAAACCUUGGACAUCCCACCAAUGAAUGUCCAGUGGCUGCAAAAAGCAGAUUAAACAGUCUAAACCUAGCUAACAGAUCUUCUCAGACCAAAAAGAACAAUACCAGUUCUGGUUAGAGAAAUAGGUUAAACUACAUGCUGCCUGCAUAGACUAGAAGGAACUUAAUUCAUCCUUUUACUCAUAAAAUAGGACCCAAGCUUGUCUGGGUUCCUAAGCCUAACCAUUGAUUUCUUGUGCAGGAGAAGGUGAAAGAAAGCAAAAGGCACUGGUACUUAGACAGUGCUUGCUCAAGAAACAUGACUGGUGAUAAGAAAAUGUUCCUUUCACUCUCCUAAAUAGAUGGAGGAAGAGUUUCUUUUGGUGAUGAAAAAAAGGAAAUCAUUACUGGAGUUGGAAGGAUUGAAUCAACUGAGUCAAAAGCAUUGGAAAAAGUCUAUCUUGUAGAAGGACUAAAGCAUAACCUUCUGAUAAUCUCUCAACUGUGUGACAAAGGGAAUAAAGUUAUUUUCACUGUUGCAGGUGUUAAAGUUAAAAGAAUGGACACAAGAGAUUGUGCUCACUGCAAGGAGAUAAAUAAAUGUAUUCAAAGCUGACAUUAUGGAACUAUCAGGACCUGAUUUGACUUGUCUGGGUGCUAUAAAAAAUGAUCCCCUUCUUUGGCACAGAAGACUUGGUCAUGCAAGUUUGAAACAGCAAAACAUACUUUCAUCCAAAGACAUGGUAUUGGGGUUACCCAAGACCAAGUUUAAGAAAGAAAAGUUAUAUAGUGCAUGUGUAAGGAGGAAGCAGGUAAGAUCUUAUUUUAAGUCAAAAAACCAUGCUAGCACUACCAAGUGUCUGGACCUGGUUCAUAUGGGCUUAUGUGGACCCAUGAGACUUCAAAGCAGAUGUUGAAAAAGGUAUUUUUUUGUUAUUGUUGAUGAUUAUUCUAGAUUCACAUGGAAUUUGUUUCUACCCUCUAAGAAAGAUGCCUUUGAUGUCUUUGAAAUCUUCAUUAAGAAAGUUAAAAAGAAACUGGGCACUUCUUUAGUUUCUAUAAGGUCUGACCAUGGUAUAGAAUUUGAGAAUGCAAAGUUCUUAGGAUUCUGUUCAGCAAAUGGUAUAGAUCAUAAUUUCUCAUCUCCUAGAACACCACAACAAAAUGGAGUGGUGGAAAGAAAAAAUAGAACCUUAAAAGAUAUGGCUAGAACAAUGAUGCUUGCAGCAAAUGUUGCUAAAAACCUUUGGGCUGAGGCAAUAAGUACUGCAACAUAUAUCAUAAAUAGAUGCAUGAUCAGACCAAUGUUAGAGAAGACUCUCUAUGAAUUACUAAAAGGAAGAAAUCCUAACAUUUUUUAUUUUAGAACCUUUGGUUGUAAAUGUUUCAUACACAAUAAUGGAAAGAAUAAUCUGGGAAAAUUUGAUGCUAAAAGUGAUGAGGGAAUCUUCUUAGGGUAUUCACUUCACAGUAAGGCUUAUAGAGUUUUAAAUAACAAAACUAACUGUGUUAAAGAAAGCAUGCAUGUAAUCUUUGAUGAAUCCUGUGUUAAGACUAACCUACAGGAAGGAAGUGACACUAAGGAAUAGGUUAUACAACCCAUUUCAUCAGCUAAAGCUACCAAAUAUAGAGACAUUUUGAUAGGGGGAACUGAAGCUGAGGGCACAGUGAUAGGGGGAACUGAGCCUCAACAUACCUCAACUCAGAAUAUUAGUAGUAAUCCUGGUAGCUUACUAGGCAUGAUUCCAAAAGGAUAUAACUAUUAAGGAUCACAUCUUAUUGAGAAUGUUUUUACUGAUCUCACAUCUGGGAUCACCACAAGGUUUGGAUUAAGAAGUAUGUGUGCCUUCAAGGCAUUCCUNNNNNNNNNNNNNNNNNNNNNNNNNNNNNNNNNNNNNNNNNNNNNNNNNNNNNNNNNNNNNNNNNNNNNNNNNNNNNNNNNNNNNNNNNNNNNNNNNNNNNNNNNNNNNNNNNNNNNNNNNNNNNNNNNNNNNNNNNNNNNNNNNNNNNNNNNNNNNNNNNNNNNNNNNNNNNNNNNNNNNNNNNNNNNNNNNNNNNNNNNNNNNNNNNNNNNNNNNNNNNNNNNNNNNNNNNNNNNNNNNNNNNNNNNNNNNNNNNNNNNNNNNNNNNNNNNNNNNNNNNNNNNNNNNNNNNNNNNNNNNNNNNNNNNNNNNNNNNNNNNNNNNNNNNNNNNNNNNNNNNNNNNNNNNNNNNNNNNNNNNNNNNNNNNNNNNNNNNNNNNNNNNNNNNNNNNNNNNNNNNNNNNNNNNNNNNNNNNNNNNNNNNNNNNNNNNNNNNNNNNNNNNNNNNNNNNNNCAUUCCUGUCAGAGAUUGAUCCAAAGAAGAUAACUAAAGCAUUGCUUGAUGCUGAUUGGAUCAUAGCCAUGCAGUAAGAGUUAAAUCAGUUUAAGAGAAGCAAAGUAUGACACUUAGUUCCUCUCCCUAAAGAUAGAUCAGUAAUUGGGACUAAAUAGGUGUAUAGAAAUAAAGUUGAUUAGCAUAGAACAGUUACAAGGAACAAGGUAAGAUUGGUGGUCCAAGGAUACAACCAAGAAGAAGGAAUUGACUUUGAUGAAACUUUUGCUCCUGUAGCAAGACUUGAAGCCAUAAGAUUACUUGUUGCUUUUGCUGCUUGCAUAGAGUAUAUCCUUUAUCAGAUGGAUGUGAAGAGUGCAUUCCUAAAUGGCAUUCUUAAGGAGGAGGUGUAUGUUAAACAACCUCCAGGAUUUGAAAGCAGGAGUUUCCGAAUCAUGUGUACAAAUUGGACAAAAUUUUGUAUGGGUUGAAACAAGCUCCAAGAGCUUGGUAUGAGAGACUGUCAAAGUUUCUAUUAGAACAUGGACAUACCAGAGGUAAAAUUGACAAUACCCUUUUCUUGAAAACUAAUGGGAAGGAUUUGUUAGUUGUGCAGUUUUAUGUGGCUGAUAUUAUUUUUGGCUCAAUAAAUAUAAGUAUGACUCAUGAGUUUCCAAACUCAUGAGAUGUGAAUUUGAGAUGAGCAUAAUGGGAGAUCUGAAUUACUUCUUGGGCUUGCAAAUAAAGCAGUCAGCUUCAGGGACAAUGAUCCACCAACAGAAGUAUGCCAAAGGGUUUCUCAAAAGAUUCUCCAUGGGAGAGGCAAAAGUGAUAAGUACUCCUCUUUCUACUUACACAAAGCUAAAAUUGGAUAAAAUAGGUUAGGUGUAGAGCAAAAGAUGUAUAGAGUUAUGAUAGGGUCAUUAUUGUACCUCACAGCAAGCAGGCCUGACAUUGUGUUCAGUGUAGGGCUAUGUGCCAGAUUUCAAGCAAAACCCAAAGAAUCACAUCUAAAAUCUGUGAAGAUAAUCUUCAGAUACUUGAAGAGAACCAGUGAUCUUGGCUUAUGGUACCCCAAAGGGAGUAACUUUAAUCUGGUAGGUUACUCAGAUAUUGAUUAUGCAGGAUAUCUGAUGGAUAGGAAAGGCACUAUAGGAAUGGUACACUUUUUUGGAUCAUGUUUCAUUACCUGGUCCUCUAAGAAGCAAAAUUCAGUUGCCUUGUCUACUGCUGAAGCUGAAUAUGUUGCUGCAGGUUCCUAUUGUGCUCAAUUGCUACGGAUUAAGCAACAAAUCAUGGACUUUGGAAUAGAUGUUGGUUGUCUUACUAUUUUUUGUGAUAAUACAAGUGCAAUUAACAUAGCUAAAAAUCCUGUUCAACAUAAGAGAAUCAAACAUAUUGAUAUUAGACAUCACUUUUUUUAGAGAUAAUGUUAAAAAAGGUCAUAUAUCCAUUAUGUUUUGUUCUACUGAGGAACAAAUUGCUGAUAUUUUCACUAAGGCCUUGAGUAGAUAACACUUUGAAAAAAAUAGGUUAGCCUUGGGGAUGAUUAAAAUUGCAUAAGUCUCCCUCAAUGCUGGACGAGAAUAAGUUGAUUUUACAAGUGAUUAUUGGUUAAUUCAGUCUCAUAAAUUAAGUUGUGUAUCCUAAGUUCAAGAUUUUAGAGUAUGUUGACUCAUGUGUGUGUUGAUUUUGUAGAAAACCUUGAUUACAAAAGCAAUUUUGUCUAUUUUUUCAUUCAAGUAUGAUUAUUAUUACAGCAAAGUAGCUUAAAGAGAAACAAGUUAUUUUCCUGAUUCCUUCUUGGUCCAUUUAAACCGCCAAAAUAUAAAGAGUCCCUUCCCUUUCAAAAAGCUGCCACAUCCUUUCCCAUCAGGACUGAAACACUCAUCAUUAUGCCUCUGCCAAAUCAGUCCCUCACCCUUUCAACUUUCUCACCCUUCUCACACUCAAAAACACUUUCCUGGUUCAAAAAUGGCAUCACUCACAUCAUCUUUAUCCUCUUCUUCUUCUUUAUCCACUGACUCUAUUCCAAAUCCCCUCACUGCACUUAUCUUUCAUCUAAACAUCACCUUACCUCCCUUAAUUCCUUCUUCAAUCUCCCAGAAUUCAUGGAUUUCUCAGCCUUCAAAAAUUUUCCAAACCCUUUUGCUCAAAUUCCCUUACCUACUUCAUCCUUAUUGCGACCCUGUUUUCCUCCUCCUAUCCCGCUCAAAAUUAUUGUUGAGGAUGAUAUUCCUAAUGAUAGAGACGAUCUUCCUAUUGCAGACUUAAUCCCAAGAAGGUCGAGAUCUCACUUCAAGAAAAAACCUUUUGUCCAUGUAGAAGACACUACGCCUUUAAAACCCUCUCCAGUUGUCUCUAAUCCUCAAACCCCACAUACCCGAGGAAAUAAGCAACGCGAAGAUGCUACAUUGGCUGAAGCUCUUAGAUCUAACAAGGGGAAACGUGUAGUAAUUUAUGAUCCCACUCCUCCUCCUGCGCCUUCUCCUGAUCUUCUUCUUCCACCAAUUAGGAAAAAUAAUACUGUCAGGGCAAAAACUUCCAAAUCUUCUGUCUCGAAAGACUUCCUCUAAACCUACUUCAAAGGCUUCCUCCUCUUCAACCCCUCCCCCCCCCCUGUCAAAGCUUUCCCAUUCAGAGUUUCUCCCAGAUCAUCUACCCGUUUAAAGAAACAGGUUAACAAACCUGUUCCUUCUGACUCAUUUGACUCUGACUUCCAUCUGGACACCACUGCUAAAGUGGAUCCCAAUUUUGAGGUUCCUGCACCAUCCUCUCACUAAGAUACUCUUUAGGCUCAUCCUCUUCACUUUUAAAAUAACAAAUUAGCUAGAGGGAGAGUAGUUAGUGGAUCUGGGGUGUUGCUAUGCAGUCUUUACUGGAAAAUUAAAGUUUCAGGAAUAGUCUUAUCUCUUUUUACAGGGAAACCUUCAGCGAAGAUUUGUUCGACCUGAAGUGUAUGAGUUCUAUACGAAUGGGGUGGGCAUUGGUGAGUUAUUUUCUGCUACAGUUAGAAAGGUUACACUAAACCUUUACAUUGCUGAUAUUGCUAGGAUUCUGCAUAGUUCUUCUGGGGGUGGAGUCACUAUGUCAAAGGCAGUUGCCCACCUCUUAAUAAUCUUGCCUCAUCUCUUGACAUAUGUAGAAAUUUCUCUGGAAAUCCCCACUUGGUCAAUCAUAGAAGAGUGUUUAAGAGGGAGAUGUCUCCUCUUCACCAAAUGUACUUUGAUGUAGUGCAUAAGAUGAUUCUUCCUAGAAAGGAAAGAAGGAUUGUGGAUAGCUUUCUUGAUCUCACUCUCAUGGAAUUAUUGGAUACUGAAGUAAGAAUUGAUCUGCCUCGACUCAUGCUAAAGAAUAUGCAAAGGGUUUUAUUCAAGGAAGUAAAUGGACAUGCUCUACCGUAUCAAUUCUGGAUCACCCCUAUAUUUGAGGACUUUGGUGUUUCUAUUCAAGUGUGAUCUUCACAGACUACCAAGGAUAUCAUAGGGUAUGUGAACUACAUGAUGCUACCUAUUUCUAUGAGGAGUGCUGACAAUCCAAUGCAAAGAUUGAGAAAUUCACUGGCUGAAAAAUAAGCCGGGGUGGAAGUUGCUUAGGCAGUUUUGGAGGCUGCUCAUGAAGAAGAAAAAGGGAUCCUCUAUGCUCAAAUUGCUUCCCUUAAAUCCUUGUUGGAAAAAGAGAGAGCUAAAAAUGCAGAUGUUAUUAUGAAACUCACCUCUCUUCUUCUACUUAGUCUCUUGACUAAUAUCUUAAGCCUACCUCCUUUUAUUCUUUUACCUGAUAGCUUGUUCUCUCUUAGUUUACUUUUUGAUAUACGUAGUUAUCUCUGCUAAUGAAUGAAAUGGGCUUAGUUGUUUUACUAUUUUCUGCUUCUAUUUUUUCAUAUUGCAUUUAUGUUCUCUUAUUUUGAAUUUUGAUUGUCUUUGUGAUAGCCUCAGUGGCCAUGAAUUAUUAGAUGCUUUUCACUUGUUGAGCCAGCUUUUUGAUGAUGUCAACAGGUCGAAGAGUAGGCUAUGCAAUACUUAUAACUCAAUUUGACUAACCUGUUUUAUUUUGUGUUAUUCUUUUAUUCAAAUUCCUUAUUGAGUAUGCCAGGGGUCUGUGAUAUUGUGCUGCUAUAUUUGUCAUCAUCGAAAAGGGAUAAUUUGUUAAGGCAUGUGGAGUUUUGAUAAUAGACAUGUGAAUGAAACAUGUUGUAAAAGGUGGUCCAUUUAAGUGUACAAAGAAAAGCUACAGGCAAGACUGUUGAUAAGAUGAUAUUGCGCAUAGACUGGAGUGGAUAAGCAAGAAUAUUUAGGAACCUUCUCAAACACUUAUCACUUUAGUAAAGUGGAAGAAAAAUGCAAUACUCAGAAGUUGAGUUUAUCUAGAAGUCCAACAAUGAGAAGAGUUCUGCAAGGAUAAAGGAUAUAGUAAAAGAGUCCUAUUCAACCAGGGGAGGAGAAACGGCUAUAACAAGGAGUGAAGUUACUUGAUAGAGUUGAAAGAAGAAAGAAGCAUAAAUCAACUAGGACUCCAUCACAGGUGUAUUACAAGUGUGCAUAUAUACAACAAUGCAAGAUCAAGUAACUUACUCAAUGCACUGAAAAGAAAACUAAUAAUCAGCAAAACAGUUCUCAUACUUGAAGAAGAACCUGGUUCCUUACUUAAGUUGUAGACUGUGUAUAGUAGGUAGGUUCUUUGAGUUGUAAUGAGUCAUUUUUCUAGUCUUAGUGAUCUAUAAACUGAGUUAGGAGUUGUGUCUUCAAGUUAGGGAACUCGAAGACUUGGAAAUACUUAUCUUGGGAAGAUUUAUGUUUUUGUAGUGAUAGGAGUUAGAAGUUUUAAUUCCUAGUUUACAAUAAGUCUUGUAACUUUAUUGAUUGUUGAGGCUCAAGUAUUAUAGUGAAGUUGGGGUUAAAUCCUGUGGAGGUACAGGUCGUGGAUUUUUAAACCUUUCUUGAGCUGGGUGUUUUUCACGUAAAAAUACUGUGUUCAGCUUUUACUUUUGUGAACCACGUUUACUUACCGAUUCCACUGAUAGCCAAUUAGUAGGGCUCGUACUCUAAUACAUACGCUAAAAUCUAGUUUAGGGAGAUAAUAAAACCUUUGUGAAGUUGGAGUAUGUCAUAAAAAAUUUGACCAUAUUUCAGGAGGUUACUAUAUGUUGUAAAUAUAAUGUUUCUAAGUCAUGGUCAACCACUAAUGUCCUUGUUGGACCACAUUUUCAAAAAGCAAAUGUUGAUUAGGUGAAUGGGUACCAUAUUUUCUUGAAGUAAAUGUUAAGGACAUUUUGUGUCCAAACUUUCUUGACCUGCCCAAAAAUGUUUUGCUACAAAAUAAGUCGUUUUCUUGCUUGUUUUUGAGUUCUUUGUGUUUUGUAGUCUAUUAUAUUCUUUCUUAUAUGGAUUGCACUGUAGUCUUUUCAUUAUUUUUUUUUCAAAAUAACAAAAAACUCUUUCUUUCGAGUUAUUCACGAGGACAAAACAGGACACUAAAUCAAACAGUGGCAAAAGGAAAACCGGUUCACAUCUCCGUGUCCAAAGAAUUUUUGUAGGGAAUAUACCAUCCAAAGACAGAAAUAUAUUUUCAAAGAAAAAGGGAGCAAAUCAUAAAUAAGAAAUUAGGGUGCAAAAUCAUUAAAAAUAAUAGAAGAGGGUGCAAAUCAUAUGUCAAAAAAAAAAAAAACAACUCCUCAAAUUUCCAUCUCUGACACUAUUUAUAUACCAAAAGACAAGGAAAGACUUUGACUUUGAAUGCCUUUUGUCAGGAAAAUUUUACAAUGGAGAAUCACAACCAGUGUAACCCUCCACUAAUAUUUUGACACAUAAGUCGUAGACCCCUAUAUUUUUGAUUUUAUAAUAAAAGUAAUGAAUAAAAGAGAUUUAUAUAAUUUAUAUGGGUCUUAAUUGGUAAAGUAAAUUUUGUUAAGUAAAUAUAAAAAAUAAAAAAAGGAGAAUUAUAUGGCUCUUGUAUGAAAAACAUAAACGGUAAAAAUAUAAUUUUUUUUCUUUAUGGUUUCAUAAAAAUCCAUGCAAACUUUUGAUCAUUAUUUGAGAUAAAAAUUAUACCAAAAUAAAAUUUUAAAAAAGACAUAUUUUUGUAUUUAGUACAAUAGCAUUUCUCAUGGAAUAUCACAAAUGAGAUUUGAGAAAGAUAGAGUGUAUCCAGUCGGGGCGUGCUUCAUCUUUUUUAUUUUAUUAAUAAUUUAAUUAUAAAAUAAUAUAUUAUUUUUAAUCCCAAUUAAUAAUUUAUAACAACAUAAAUUUUUGGGUUAUAAAAUACUAUAUUUUAUCUCAAUCCAAAAUUCUUUUUAUAAUUUAAUUAUAAAAUAAUUUAUAAAAUAUAGUAUUUUAUAACCCGAAAAUUUGUGUUGUUAUAAAUUAUUAAUUGAGAGUAAAAAUUAUAUAUUUUUUAUAAUGAAAUUAUUCAUAAAAUAAAAAAGAUGAAACACCCCCUCUAAUAAAUUUUGCAUAUACUCUAUUUUUCUCAAAUCUCAUUUGUGAUAUUUCAUGGGAAAUGUUAUUGUUCUAAAUACAAAAAUGUCUUCUUUUUUUUUUUUUUUAAUUUUAAAAGGAAAUCAUAAAUUUAAACAAAUGAAAUAUCUAUUAAUAAAAAUAGGAUCAAUACGUAACUUUGGUGUAAUUUUUAUCUCAAAUAAUGAUCAAAAGUUUACGUGAACUUUUAUGAAAUCGUAAAAAAAAUAAUUAUUUUUACCGUACACAUUUUUUCAUACAAAAGCCAUAUAAUUUUUUUUAAGUUUUUAUAUUUAUUUAAUACAAUUUAUUUUACCAAUUAAGACCCAUAUGAAUUAUACAAAUAUAUUUUCUCUCUCUUACUCAUUGCUUUCAUUACAAAAUUAAAAAGACGGGGGCCCACAACUUAUGUGUCAAAAAAUUAAUGGAGGGUCACACAACUUUUGUUGGUUGUGACUCUCCCAUUGUAAAAUUUUCCUUUUCUCCGUAUUUAUUCUAUAUACAUCUUUCUCAGUAAUCCAUUCAUUUUCUACAUAAAUAUGACUCUAAACUUGACAUCAAAUUAUAACAUUGACCUUAAACUUUAACAAUGCACAAAUAGGCCCUUUACCUAUACAAAACCUGAACAAAUAAACACUCCAAUUUCGCAACUUACACACGUGUACCUCACUUGCGCCUAUGUGGAUUAGUCAUCCACUCAAAUGCUGCCACCAAAUAAAAAAGAUACAGUAUUACUAUGUGUUUUGCGGAAAUUUUGACUUUUGAAGAGAGUCGCCACUUAAUUUUGAGAAGGAAUUAAGAAAUCUUUAGAGAGUUACUUCAAACGAUUCAAAACAGAAAAAUUGUUUUAAGUUAGAGAUUCUAGAUAAGCAGUUCCUAUUAACGUUUUAGAAAGGUGUUAGGCACCUAAAACGUCCGCUAACUUGCAGUUAUCCGGACUGUUUGAAAAUCGUCUUUUGAUUAACUUUGAAAAGAUUAAUUUGUUGAAAUAGUGAUUUGAUUUUUUCAAAAAAAAAAAAAAAAAAACUUGUGCAAAAUAGAUUUAGGCGACUUAGUAGGGAUUUUAACUAAGUCUAAACAAAACUAAUAAACAAAUAAACACAUAAAAUGGGAAGGGUGGAGAAAGUAAAAGAUUUAGGCCAUUAAGCCCAAAUCAACGAGACUUGUCCUAGUCUAGUUGGGCUUCCAACCCAUUUCACCUGUCGUAAACUAUUUUUCGAGCUUUUGGAUCGAGUCUUGCUUCACCUGUAUUAAAUACAACUUUGGCUUCUAGGCCGAAAUGAAUGAAUAAAUAAAUGACUAAAUGAAUAAAUAAAAAGAAGACAAUAAUAAAAAUUGAGACUUUUCAAGUCUUUUAGUGACCUCAUCAAUGGGUUUUGACCAAUUUUUCUUCUUUGUCUAUCUUCUAGAACCCUCACGCCAUGUAGUGGACCUUGGGUUUAAACUUCGAACUUGACUCGAAGGGGUGAGCCUCAUUUACUCAUUACGAAAUGCAGGAGGAGGGGAGUCCAUUUGGACUCGAGAUAUUUUUUGCAUACAAAGAAAANNNNNNNNNNNNNNNNNNNNNNNNNNNNNNNNNNNNNNNNNNNNNNNNNNNNNNNNNNNNNNNNNNNNNNNNNNNNNNNNNNNNNNNNNNNNNNNNNNNNNNNNNNNNNNNNNNNNNNNNNNNNNNNNNNNNNNNNNNNNNNNNNNNNNNNNNNNNNNNNNNNNNNNNNNNNNNNNNNNNNNNNNNNNNNNNNNNNNNNNNNNNNNNNNNNNNNNNNNNNNNNNNNNNNNNNNNNNNNNNNNNNNNNNNNNNNNNNNNNNNNNNNNNNNNNNNNNNNNNNNNNNNNNNNNNNNNNNNNNNNNNNNNNNNNNNNNNNNNNNNNNNNNNNNNNNNNNNNNNNNNNNNNNNNNNNNNNNNNNNNNNNNNNNNNNNNNNNNNNNNNNNNNNNNNNNNNNNNNNNNNNNNNNNNNNNNNNNNNNNNNNNNNNNNNNNNNNNNNNNNNNNNNNNNNNNNNNNNNNNNNNNNNNNNNNNNNNNNNNNNNNNNNNNNNNNNNNNNNNNNNNNNNNNNNNNNNNNNNNNNNNNNNNNNNNNNNNNNNNNNNNNNNNNNNNNNNNNNNNNNNNNNNNNNNNNNNNNNNNNNNNNNNNNNNNNNNNNNNNNNNNNNNNNNNNNNNNNNNNNNNNNNNNNNNNNNNNNNNNNNNNNNNNNNNNNNNNNNNNNNNNNNNNNNNNNNNNNNNNNNNNNNNNNNNNNNNNNNNNNNNNNNNNNNNNNNNNNNNUACCAACAAUAAGUUUAAACAAGACAUGGGUAUCGUUUUUCAAGUAAAGAUCUAAACUUUAUCCAAAAUAAUCAAAGAAUAAAGUAAAUAAGAGAAACAGUCAAUAUUAUCUAUUCUUUUCAACAUAAAGGAAAUAACUUUACAUGCUAAAAACAAAUAUAUCUACCAACAAUAAGUUUAAACAAGACAUGGGUAUCGUUUUUCAAGUAAAGAUCUAAACUCUAUUAAAAUAAUCAAAGACUAAGGUGAAAAGGCAAAAUAUUCAACAUUAACUAUUCUUCCAAACAUAAAGAAAAUAACUUUACAUACUAAAAACAAAUGUAUCCAACAACAAUGAGUUUAAAAAAAGCAUAAACACAUCUUUUAAGCAAAGAUUGAAACUUUAUCUAAAAUAAUCAAAGAAUAAAGUUAAAAAAAGCACAUACAACUAUUGCUAGCUCAUUUUUAUAUCAUGAACAUGAAAAUAAUUAGAAUAUCGAUACCACAACGUCCUAGGGCCUUCAAGGACAUCUAUAACAUACAAUCCCAAUAAAUAAAAUUAUAUCUACGAACUACAAAGAAGAAAAAAAGAUGAAGAGAAAAACGAUAAUAAAAAUUAAAGUAAUAAUAAUAAAAAAAUAAGGUGUGUUUACCUUUUUGGGGACAGAAAAAUGAGACUACAAGCUUCGUUAGAAUCAACCACCACCAAAAAACAUCGCCGGAAACUCAAAAAUUUUGAUUAGCCGAUCAACUUUAUGAAACAAAAAUUUUUACUAAAUAAAAAUAACUAUUUUUGCUCAAAAGGAUUUUUUUCCACUUUCUAGCCUUUUUUUUCUUCCUUCUCCCCUCCCCUCUCUACCAAAGUAGUGGUAGUAUUUAUAGGAGAGAAUGAAGUAUUUUUUUUCCCUUUUCCACCAAUGUGGGAGAAAAGUAUUUAUAGGAAAGGAUAGAGAUUUAUUUCUUGUCAUCCACCAAUGUGGGAGAAAAAACAUUUAGGGGGGUUUUUGGAAUGUAAAAUUAAAGAUAAGGUGAGGUGGAAGAUAAUGUGGGGGGAAAUAGUACAAUGUAGUACAAUCUUUGAAUUUCAAAAUUGGAAAAGGACAAAGUUGGGGGAAUAGUAUAAUUUGAAUUUAUUUUUUGGUGGAAAUUGGGUAAAACUUAUGAGAGUUCUUGAGAAUUUUGAGGUUAUUUAAAAUAUAACCCCACUUGAAAUUUAAAAUUUAGCCAUAUUUAUUUAUUUUGACCAAAUUAAACAUUAAUUGACGAAUUGCAUUGUAAUUAUGGCCAAUUUUCAAUUAUGGUCAAAUCUAAUAGAUUGACUAAAUUAAAUUAAAAUUCGAUAAGAAUUAAUACCUUUUUUUUUUAAUCCCGAUCUUCUUGAUUUAAUAAAAUGAAUGCAUAUUUAUCCAAAUAAAUUAUUUUUGAGAAUAAAUUAUAUUUAAAUUAAGAUUUUAAUCAUUUGAAUUUAUUUUCAAGAUAAGCCUUAAUUAAAUCCGAUAUUUUGUAAAAUAAAUAUUUAAGUAACAAAUUAUAUAAUCUCGUAUAACUGAACACGAUAGUAUAUAAUCGCUAUUUAAAAUGACAAAAUCACGUACGAAAAAUAUUUUAAGUUUUUUUUUUCAUUUGGAUGAAAUAAUUAUUUUGGUUUACUAAAAACAGAAGAAACUUAGGAUUAAAUUUAGUCGUGGAGGGCAAAAAUUAGGUGUCAACACUAUGACCUUUAACUUUGCCAGUGUACAAAUAAGCCCUUUAACUAUGCAAAAGUUAAACGAAAAAACCCUUCAAUUCUAACUCCGACACGCGUGGUUUUGAGUGCAUACACGCAUUUUGCCACGUAGAAUUGAAGUAUUUAUUUGUUCAGAUUUUAUAUAGUUAAAGGGUCUACUUGUGCACUCUCUCUUUUUCUCGUUCAUUCAAUUUAUUUUUAUUUUAUAUUUCAUAACACAAGCCUUUUAUUUAGUAAUCCAUUCAUUUUCUUAAAACUAAGCCCUUUUAGCUACUAAAAGUUAUUACUCUAAAAUUUGCCUUUUUGGAAUUACUAAAGACUAUGAUAAAAUUAUAAAUAUUAAGUGUGUUGAAUUUGAGCCUUGAACGUAACAAAUUUUUUAAAAAAGGCGUUAGUAUUCGUUUGUGGAUAUCAACAGCGUGAAUCGAAAUGCAGAUUUCAAAUCCCGAACAUUAAAAAGAGAAGAAUUAGAAACGACUGAUUGUUAUGAAAGUUGAAUCUCUAAAGAGUAUGAUGGAAUGGUUAACGGUUAUUAACAUUAAGUGUUUCGAAUUUGAGCAUUGAACAUAACCGUUAUUUAAAAAAAGGCGCAAGUUUUAGUUGCAGUGGAUUUCUAUAGCGCGAACAAUAAAUUCAAGCACCGAACACAACUAAUAAUGAUAAACGUUAAUAAGCCCCUUGAAUGUAACGAUUUUUUUUAAAAAAAGCGUCAAUAUCUAUUCGCUUAAGUGUGUUUCUGUAGAGCGAAUAUAGAUUAAUCAGAACACCGAACAUAUCCAUAUAGUCAAAAAAGGAAAAAAAAUUAAAACCCCCCCCCCCCCCCAAAAAACUCUCUCUAAACACUCUCUUAAAGAUUAGGCUAGGGUUUCUAUAAGGUGUUAUCUAGAGGAUCAAGAGUCAAGUUCUUUCCAUCAAUCUUCAUGAAUAAGUCAUGUGACUCUUUCUUUAUUGUUAGUUCUCAAAUAUCAUGUGUUUACAUUGAUUAUGGUUUAUUAAUGGUAGUUUUGAAAACCUAUGUUGAGGGACAUGUUGCAUAUUGUUGAGUAUUAUUUACUCCUGGUUUGAAUUGUGUUUAUACAUGUUUUUGAUAUUGGUUUGCACAUGUGGGUGCUUGGUAAUUGUGGUUUAACAAUUGGGUAAUGGUUCAUCCUAAACUAAAUGGUUUUUACUUUGGUCUUGGUCUUGUUAAUGGUAUGCCCUCAAAGUGUUUGUAAAAAUGUCUAAGAGAACAAACUAGUCACAUGUUUAAUGGUGUUUUUUAACUAAGGCAUUGGCCUAAUGAAUAUGAAUUGUUGGUAAAUGGAUUUGUGAAAGGCUUUUUGGUCAUGGUAACCUUGGUGGUUCAAUUGGCUAAAAAGGGUUUGAGUCCCUAAACAUUAAAUUGAUUUAUGUCCCUACUAGAUAAUAAGUUUGAGUCCUUAAAUGUUGAAUUGAAUUGAUGGAUUUGUAUAGACAAUAUAUUCCCUUUGGCUGUUGAGCUUCAGUUCCAACUCUUUGAUUUUUUUUUGAUGGCUAAUUCUAUCAUUCUUCUUGUAGAAAAAUGGUCAUGUUUGUUUUCAAGAAUUCAUGAGUUGAGUUCUUUUAGAGAUGAUCCAAUUGUUUGUUUGGCUCAUAAAACUUGAAUUUGAAGGUAAAGAUUGUGCAUUACAUGAUCAAAGUUAAACUCUUCUAUUGCUUUUAGAGAUGUUCAAUUGUUGCUUUGGUUGUUGGAUAAUCAUGAAUUUGAAUCUAAUGAUUGUGUUUGAUUCGAUCGAAAUUCAGUUUCUUUCUUGCUUUUAGUAACUUUUAUGCCCAUUUUAACUUGAUGCAGAUUCAUAUAUACAGUGGACAAGUCUGAAUGUCGGACAGAAGUUAGUGUGUCGAGUUGAGGAGAAAUUCAAAGCAAACUAUCAAGAGCAUCCACAAGUGAGUAGUUGCCGAAUAUUCCAAUAUUCCAUAAGUUUGAGUUUUUUCUCAUUUCUUUUGAUAACUAUCACAUUCACAGCUUGAAGUUUUCAAGAAAUUUCAUGAGCAUAGAGUACCAAUCACUAUCUACUAGAAACAAGUUUUGUAGCAAAAAUGAAGCUUUCAUAAGUUUUGAGUGUUGGGGAUUUAUCACCACGCUCAUAUAUGAAGCUUGUUAAAUUAGGAGUAUUUACCUCUAACAUUAAUCAAAUAUAAGCACCUCAAUGUUGCAGUAUACGCGAGUCGGUCUCUUGAAAUCUUGAUUGUUUGCUAUUUAAAGCAAGCAGAUAAGUACACACGUUCAAGGUUGGGUUGAUUGAAAAGAAGGUGCCAUCCAUCUGUGACAUUCACAUUAACUAGGUGCAAUUUUUUCAAGGCAUUGCAAGAAGUUAUUUUAUUAACUUUUAGUUCCCAGUGACGCCUAUUAAUACAAGGAUCUUCAACAUUCAGUGCUACAAUGUCAAUCAUCUGAUUUCAGGAAGGCAAAUUAGCCAAAUCAUCUUCAGUUUCUGCAAUUUGCAAACUGGCUAGUCUGCGACAACAUAACCUUAAAUUCUCUAAACCAAUGCAGCUUGCACAUAAAGGUUGAAUGUGUUGCUCAUCCAAAUAUGUAUCAGUGAGUCUUAAAUUUCGCAAAGAUGAAAACUUUAUACCAUGAUCAGGAGGUAAUUCAAGCUUAAAUCCACGUAAGUUAAGAAUGUUUAAUCCCUUAGCAACAAAGAGUUCUUCGGGCAAGCUAUCGAAACUGCUAUCUGAUCCACCUUUUUUUAAAAUCAACUCCUUGAUAUUACUUGUGACCAGGAUUUUUAAUCCAAUGAUGAACAUAAGAUGGUAUUUUUAGCCAAACUUUUGUACAGAAAUCUUGUGCUUCUUCCGAUUGGCUAGAGUUUGAUUAACAAUAUGCACAAACUCUUGUAUGUUUUCUGAAAGUAUCCAGUGUCCGCGCACUUCAAAAUAGAAGAAUUUAUCGCGAAAGUUUAAGUAGGGAGGAAACUCCAAGCAGCAUACCAUGUCUUGGACAAAGUACUAAUUUGUCCAGCAUCUUUAGCAAGGAGUAAACCCGUAAAGUGAUGCAAAAUUGGCUCCGGUAAUUUGGACAUUUGAUCCUCCGCUUCAUCAACUCUUUUCUCUUUCAUCACUCUCAAAGAUGUUCUAUGCCUGUUUUCCCAAAAACCAAGCAGUAAAAUGAAAAAAAGUUACGGAAAGAAAAGUUUACUUGUAGAAGAAUUACACAAAGCAGAAUACUUUCCUUCAUAUGUUAAAAUAUUGCUAAAGAUCACAUACAUGAAUCAGAACAGUAAUUUCAAACGAUAGAAAAGUUAAUGUGGAGGCUUUUCUAAAAAAUAAGGCAUGGUUCUUUCAAUGCCAUGUCCGAGGAAAGCAGAUCAAACAGUACUGGUUGGGUAGAUAUAGGUAGUGAAUUCUAACCUUUGAAUGAAUCCUAUCAACAGGAAGGUAUAUUAUCCACACCUUCCAAAAUUGGUCAAGUUAAGAGAAAGCGAUUCACUCUUUCUAUUCCCGAUAGGGACUCAAUUUUGAACUGGAAUUAUCCACACCAGAGAACGAUGGCCAGCUGACGGUAUGGAUAAAACAAAGGAAAAAGUUUUCUUCGCAAACUAAAACAUCUUAGUAACUAAAGGAAGGGAACUCAACCGAGAUCUUGUUAGUAGCAGCGAGCGAGAGCGGCUUAGGGAUUUGAAGAAAGACAAGACCUAAAAGCACAGUCUUCUUCUUUUCAAUUUCUAUUGGCUAUUUGAACAUCAAUAUAUCAAUUACCUGAUGAAGACCAAAGUAUUUGAUUCAAUUGGGUUCUUCUACUUUGUUGAUGUUUUUGUUAAUCUUCCCAUGUUUCUAUUUUUUAUCUCACAAAAUGUGAAAUGCCUCAAGUAUUUAUAGACAUCUAAGGUGGCUAAGUGGGUUGUCCGUCCCAUUAAGGAAUCGGGACGUGUUAGCCCAUUUAUGCCCAUGGGGUCAACUUUAAGGUUGGGGCCGGGGCGGGGUAAUCCUUAUGGAGAUGCACAACAAAGUUGCACAAUUGUGUAGACUAAUUACAACUAUUAGGAAGAAUCAUUUAAUAUCACAUGAGUAAGUUUUGCUUGCUGUCGCCUGUCAGUGUGCAUAGUAAUGUUGAGAACAAUAUCCGUAUAAUGAAACUUUUUUAACUGGCCAACGAUACAUCCUAUGUCCUAAUCACGCAUAAGACAUUCUGAAGAAGAAAGGAUGACAUUCUGACCUUCGACAAGCAUUAAGCACAAGAACUUGGUUUAGAAAGUGACAACAACGUGUAUAAAAGCCGGAAUAGGAGUAGAUGAAGGAGUUGGUUCUUUACCUAACACUCUCGGCCACCCAACCAGACCGACUAUAUUCUCUAUAUAUGCAAUAUCUUGAAAGGCAAAAAAAAGAUCUACCUUGGCAACAAACACGUCAUUGACUGAUAAUUUACCACAUUAUAAAUAGUAGAUACUGAAUCCUCUUGGUUUUGUGUGUCUACUUCAUUAUAAUCUAUUUUAUUAUUAAAAGUGAACUCAACUUGAUAGUGUAAAAAGAUCUGUACACACUGGCAGGCGACAGCGAGCAAAACUUACUCAUGUGAUAUUAAAUGAAUUCCUAAUAGUGGUUAUUAGGCUAUAUGAUUGUGCAAUUUUGUGGUGCUUCUCCAUAAGAAUUACCCCGCCCCGGCCCCGGCCCCAACCUUAAAGUUGACCUCCCAUGGGCCUAAUGGGCUAAGACGUCCCGAUUCCUUAAUGGGACGGACAACCCACUAAGCCGCCUUAGAUGUCUAUAAAUACUUGAGGCAUUUCACAAUUUGUGAGAUGAAAAAUAGUAACUUGGGAAGCCAAAAAACACAUCAACAAAGGAGAAGAAUUCAAUAGAAUCAAAUACUUUGGUCUUCAGCAGGUAAUUGAUUUUUCGAUUUUCAAAUAGCCAGUUGAAAUUGAAAAGAAGAAGAUUGUGCUUUUAAGUUCAUUCAAUGCUAGGUAUUUUAAAGCUGAGAAAAUAAUCCUCCUUGCUCAUCCUAGAUCUUAUCUUUCUUAAAAUCCAUAAUCUGCUCUCACUCGCUGUUACUAACAGGAUCUCGGUUGAUUUCCUUUCCUUUAGUUACUAAAGUGUUUUAGUUUGCGAAGAACCAUGCCUUCUUUCUUAGAAAAGCCUCAUCAUCAACUUUCUAUUGUUCAAAAUUACUAUUCUGAUUCAUGUAUGUGAUAUUUAGCUAUAUUUUAGCAAAUUAAGGAAAGAAUUCGGCUUUGUGCAAUUCUUCCGUGAGUUAAAGUUUUCUUUCCAUAACUUUUUUCAUUUUAGUGUUUGGUUUGUCGAAAAACAGGCAUAGAAAAUCUUUGAGAGUGAUGAAAGAGCAAAGAGUUGAUGAAACGGAGGAUCAAAUAUCCAAAUUACCGGACCCAAUUUCGCAUCAUUUUAUGGGUCUACUCCUUGCGAAAGAUGCUGCACAAAUAAGUACUUUGUCCAAGACAUUGUAUGCUGCUUGGAGUUCCCUCCCCUACUUAAACUUUGGCGAUAGAUUCUUCUAUCGUGAAGUGCAUGGCCGCUGGAUACUUUCAGAAAAAAUACAAGAGCUUGUGCAUAUUGUUGAUCAAACUCUAGCCAAUCGGAAGAAGCACAAAAUUUCUGUCCAAAAGUUCUGGCUAAAAGUACCAUCCAGUUACCGGAUGAGCUCAUCUUAUGUUCGUAAUUGGAUUAAAAUCCUGGUGACAAGUAAUAUCAAGGAGUUGAUUUUAAAAGUAGGUGAGUCAGAUAGUAGUUUCGAUAGCUUGCCUGAAGAACUCUUUGUUGUUGAGGGAUUAAAUGUUCUUAAUUUACGCGGAUUUAAGCUUGGAUUGCCUCCUGAUCAUGGUAUAAAGUUUUCAUCUUUGAGAAAGUUAAGACUCACUGAUACAUAUUUGGAUGAGCAACUCAUUCAAGCUUUAUGUGCAAGCUGCGUUUGUUUAGAGAAGUUAAGGUUAUCCUGUUGUCGCGGACUAGCCAGCUUGCGAAUUGCGGCAAGUUUGCAAAAACUGAAGACGGUUUGGCUACGUUGUCUUCCUGAACUCCAGAUAGUUGAUAUUGCCGCACCAAAUGUUGAAAAUCUCUACAUUGAAAGUCAACUAUGGAAUCUACAAGUAGUUAAAAUAACUUGUUGCAAAUCCUUGAAAACUUUAUACAUCGUUGAUGUGGAUGUCACUGACGGAUGGCUAGAAGAUCUUCUUGUCAAUCAACCCAAUCUUGAGUGCUUGUCCUUAUCAGGUUGUUUAAAGUUGCAGAAAAUCAAGAUCUCAAGUGACCGGCUGAAGUAUCUUGCAUUAUCGUGGUGCUUAGAAUUGAUUAAUGUUGUACUGGAAACUCCUACUUUAACAUGCUUCAGAUAUAAGUGUGAUGAAAAUUUGCCAACCCUCAAGCUUAUGAAAUCUUCGGUUUUUCUAGUACUUAAACUCGAAUUCUCCCUGACAAAUAUACUUGAUAGUCAUUGGUAUUCUAUGCUCAUGAAAUUUCUCGGAAACUUCAAGCAGUCAAAGGCUAUUAAGUUAGAUUGCUGCGACAGGGAUGGGAUAGUGAUACCAAAA
Molecule: long non-coding RNA, 28154 nt
Filed under: Capsicum annuum
Lineage: Eukaryota; Viridiplantae; Streptophyta; Magnoliopsida; Solanales; Solanaceae
Description: long non-coding RNA (CANN_LNC013439)
Source: RNAcentral